RNAcentral lists this non-coding RNA (148 nucleotides) under Homo sapiens (human). Lineage: Eukaryota; Metazoa; Chordata; Mammalia; Primates; Hominidae. The record is from Rfam by way of RNAcentral.
GCCGGGUGUGGUGGUGCACGCCUGUAAUCCCAGCUACUUGGGAGGCUGAGGCAGGAGAAUCGCUUGAACCCGGGAGGCGGAGGUUGCAGUGAGCCGAGAUCGUGCCACUGCACUCUAGCCUGGGUGACAGAGUGAGACUCCAUCUCAA